GAGUUUGAUCUUGGCUCAGAACGAACGCUGGCGGCAGGCCUAACACAUGCAAGUCGAACGCCCCGCAAGGGGAGUGGCAGACGGGUGAGUAACACGUGGGAACCUUCCCUAUAGUACGGAAUAGCCCAGGGAAACUUGGAGUAAUACCGUAUACGCCCGAAAGGGGAAAGAAUUUCGCUAUAGGAUGGGCCCGCGUAGGAUUAGCUAGUUGGUGAGGUAAUGGCUCACCAAGGCGAUGAUCAAUAGGGGAACUGAGAGGUUGAUCCCCCACACUGGCACUGAGAUACGGGCCAGACUCCUACGGGAGGCAGCAGUAGGGAAUAUUGGACAAUGGGUGCGAGCCUGAUCCAGCCAUGCCGCGUGCAGGGAAGACGGCCUUCUGGGUUGUAAACUGCUUUUGCCAGGGGAUAAAAGUCCCUGCGGGGAAAAUUGAAGGUACCUGGUGAAUAAGCCACGGCUAACUACGUGCCAGCAGCCGCGGUAAC
Molecule: ribosomal RNA, 485 nt
Filed under: uncultured Alphaproteobacteria bacterium
Lineage: Bacteria; Pseudomonadati; Pseudomonadota; Alphaproteobacteria
Description: bacterial SSU rRNA
Rfam family: Bacterial small subunit ribosomal RNA
Source: RNAcentral